RNAcentral lists this long non-coding RNA (1000 nucleotides) under Papio anubis (olive baboon). RNAcentral describes it as "lncRNA (ENSPANG00000048364.1)". Lineage: Eukaryota; Metazoa; Chordata; Mammalia; Primates; Cercopithecidae. The record is from RNAcentral.
AGAGAGAAGCAUGUGAAGGAGGCCAGUGUUGGAGGGCUCUGUGCCUCUGCAGUGUUCAGGAGCCUCUUAGCUUUGCAUGAAUGCAAACAGUGGGCAGUGAAUGGGGUCUGAGCUGAGAAUAAGGACCAUUGAAGAGGCUGCAUAAAUAACGACGGAUUUUAAUUAGGAUGAGAGCCCCUUGAGUUCUCAAGUAAGAUCAGAUGUGAGAGAGAGCAGAUUAUUUGCAUGUGGGACACGCAAUUGCUAUGACAGGAAAUCAGUGAAGAAGGAAGUGAGGGUCGUCCAGAGCUCAAGGUAACCCCAGUUACUUCUUUUGCAGAGUAUUCUCUGGUUUGGAGUCCUUUUCAGAUGGAAAUAAUUUCUCAAAGGACUCUGAGGUUGUAGACUCUCACCAAGUGAUAUGCUUUGGCUGUGUUCCCGCCAAAAUCUCGACUUGAAUUGUAUCCCUCAGAAUUCCCACGUGUUGCAGGAGGGACCCAGGGGGAGGUAAUUGAAUCAUGGGGGCCAGUCUUUCCCGUGCUAUUCUCGUGAUAGUGAAUAAGUCUCACGAGAUCUGACAGGUUUAUCAGGGGUUUCCGCUUUUGCUUCUUCCUCAUUUUCUCUUGCUGCAGUCGUAUGAGGAGAGUCUUUUUGCCUCCCGCCAUGAUUCUGAGGCCUCCCCAGCCAUUUGGAACUGACACUCUCUUGGAACCUUGCCAUCAGGGCACAAGGAAGCCCAUCACUCUAUAGAGAAUCUGAUGUGGAGAAAAACAGAGGCCUGGCUGACAGCUCCAGCUAAAUCCUAGUUGACAACCAGCACCAACUUACCAGCCAUGUGAGCGAGCGAUCUUCGAAGUGGAUCGUCUAGCCCUAGUCAAGCUGUCCCAGCAGAUGCCACAUGGAAAAGAGACAAGCUGUCCCUUUAAGCCCUGACUGAAUUGAAGAUUUAUGAGCAGAAUAAAUGACUGUUAUUGUUUUAAGUUGCUACGUUUUGAGGUGGUUUAUUAUACAGCAAUAGGUA